This 465-nucleotide ribosomal RNA is filed under the name uncultured bacterium. Its description in RNAcentral is "partial 16S ribosomal RNA". It matches the Rfam family "Bacterial small subunit ribosomal RNA", at positions 28 to 507 of the family's 1533-position model. The record is from RNAcentral.
GACGAACGCUGGCGGCGUGCUUAACACAUGCAAGUCGUACGGUAAGGCCCUUUCGGGGGUACACGAGUGGCGAACGGGUGAGUAACACGUGAGUAACCUGCCCACAACUUUGGGAUAACGCUAGGAAACUGGUGCUAAUACUGGAUAUGUGCUCCUGCUGCAUGGUGGGGGUUGGAAAGCUCCGGCGGUUGUGGAUGGACUCGCGGCCUAUCAGCUUGUUGGUGGGGUAGUGGCCUACCAAGGCGGCGACGGGUAGCCGGCCUGAGAGGGUGACCGGCCACAGUGGGACUGAGAUACGGCCCAGACUCCUACGGGAGGCAGCAGUGGGGAAUAUUGCACAAUGGGCGCAAGCCUGAUGCAGCAACGCCGCGGGCGGGAGGACGGCCUUCGGGUUGUAAACCGCGUUCAGCAGGGACGAAGCUUUUUGUGACGGUACCUGCAGAAGAAGCACCGGCUAACUACGUG